RNAcentral lists this small RNA (456 nucleotides) under Drosophila ananassae. Its description in RNAcentral is "GF27932". Lineage: Eukaryota; Metazoa; Arthropoda; Insecta; Diptera; Drosophilidae. The record is from RNAcentral.
UGUCAAAAUCUCAAAAACAUUCGUCAGUUUUCGCCUUUCGUCUGUCCCAUACGCAUCAAAAUUUUAGUUAAAGUCCCUAAAAGUUUCUUCUUAAACCAAUUUCAAUAAAUUCAAAUAUUCUUCAAUGUGCUGCCCUCCAUCCUGUUCACCGUGCUGUUACCCCGCAUGCUGCAAACCCUAUGGAAAAUGUGGACCACAUGGACCUUGUAACCCCCGUUGUGGUCCCUGCCGACCUUGCUGUGCUCCUGCAUGCGGUCCCAUGGAACCCCGAAAUGGACUUCAGAAGUGCUCGCCUUAUGGUUUGGCCACUGGCGGAUUUUGCUGUUGAUACUUCAAUGCGAUGGACGAAUAUAUGGAUUGAACCCUACACCACUGAACUGAAAAGAACUUUAGGGACUUAAUAUACAUAUACCGGUAUCAUUUCAUCCCAUAAUAAAAUUGUAGCGUCACAUUAAA